CCUACGGGUGUCAGCAGUGGGGAAUAUUGGGCAAUGGGCGCAACCCUGAUCCAGCGACGCCGCGUGAGGGAAGAAGUAUUUCGGGUUGUAAACCUCUAUCAACGGGGAAGAGAAGAAGAAGGUACCCUUUCUAUAAGCCACGGCGAACCUCGUUCCCGCCGGCCCGGUUAUACGUUGGUGGCAAGCGUUGUCCGGAUUUUCUGGGUGUAAAGGGAGUGCAGCCGGAGAGUCAAGUCAGAUGUGAAAUGCAGGGGCCCAACCCGUGAACUGCCUUUGAAAAUGUUUUGCUUGAGUGUCGGAGAGGUGAGUGGAAUUCCUUGUGUAGCGGUGAAAUGCGUAGAUAUAAGGAGGAACACCAGUGGCGAAGGCGGAUUACUGGACGAUAACUGACGGUGAGGCGCGAAAGCGUGGGGAGCAAACAGGAUUAGAUACCCUGGUAGUC
Molecule: ribosomal RNA, 442 nt
Filed under: uncultured bacterium
Lineage: Bacteria
Description: partial 16S ribosomal RNA
Rfam family: Bacterial small subunit ribosomal RNA
Source: RNAcentral